This 73-nucleotide transfer RNA is filed under the name Felis catus (domestic cat). It matches the Rfam family "tRNA". Rfam says of the family: Transfer RNA (tRNA) molecules are approximately 80 nucleotides in length. Their secondary structure includes four short double-helical elements and three loops (D, anti-codon, and T loops). RNAcentral also lists the same sequence under 4 other names. Lineage: Eukaryota; Metazoa; Chordata; Mammalia; Carnivora; Felidae. The record is from Rfam by way of RNAcentral.
GCCUGGAUGGCUCAAUUGGUAGAGCAUGUGACUCUUGAUCUCAGGGUCAUGAGUUCAAGCCCCACACUGGGUG